This is a long non-coding RNA of Peromyscus californicus insignis, 4982 nucleotides long. RefSeq lists it as uncharacterized. The record is from RefSeq and is a predicted model, not a curated record. Lineage: Eukaryota; Metazoa; Chordata; Mammalia; Rodentia; Cricetidae. The transcript has 3 exons.
UCUCAUCCUUUCUGUUUGUUUCCUCUACAUUGUCAAAUGUUUUAAAUGAAACAGAUUCUUUUUGUUGUCAGACUCAAAACAGGUUAUUCAAAUGCAUUGCUGGCAUCCUUCCUUCCUUCCUGUCCCCACCCCAGGUGGGGACACAGCUGCAGGAAGUGGGGAAGGCGGGACAUCUAACCUGGGGAAGGGCAAGGACAGCCAAGGAUGGUGCUUGGCCUCCUCCAGUCUGCAGCUCGGGACGCUCCCACAGCUGACCCAGAUGCAAGCUGAGGGUGUUGAGAGAUCAAAGGAAGACAUGAGAGACCCGGGAGGGACAGCACAGAUACAAGGGUCAGGCCAACAGGCCACAGACUGAGUGGGGAAGCACAGGAAACACCCCAAGCUCCAGGUGUCACCCGGGUGCUUCUGGACAGAAAGAUGUCACUGUGGACUGUGUCAGCACAGGUUGGUCACAGGGGACACAACCAAUCCUCAGGAGCUGUUUCUGCUGUGGGAAAGUAGAUGAGCCGGUAGAAACCUCCCAACAAGGAACUCAGCAGGUUUGAGGACUGGGGCUGGAGGAGACCAUAGCCACCUGCUGCCCACCCAUCGCCCCAGCCCGGGACAUGCUGUCUCCAGGAGGCCCAAAGGGUGAGAUGGACCAUAAUGAAAGAAGAGCCACAGAAACGGGCUGGAGCACCCAACUGAACUGGGCCUGAAAGCCAAGCUGCAGUUGGCUAAACCCAGGAUCUGAAUAUGGAAUUCCAGAUUUCCAGAAGAGACAGACACCAGUCUCUACUGUACUAAAGAUCUGCCACCCAGAGGACAGGUUGGAGGUGAGCAUGCCGAAGUGAGGAGCAGGCUGGGAGAAGCCUGACCUACAGACCCAUAUUUUUCCUGCCUCCAAAACCCACCAGCAUGGCUUCAGCAGGGCAGCAGAGCCUCGGGCCCAGAGACAGUCUUUAGAUGCAAAGACCACACCCCUGUCCACAGGCUACAGAUGGGGAAGGGUCAUCUCUAAGGGGUCACCACUCCAUCCAUCGGACACAGACUUGAGUCUGUCCCGAAAGAUCUCUGCCUUGGGAAUCUUCAUUUCUGGGAAUACUAGAGCUACCUGUGGGCUGUGUCUGAGAACUUCCUAAUCCCUUUGGCCUGACAUCGUGUACGUACACAGUGCAAGCUCUUGCAUCAAGAGAUGUAUGAACACUGGUAUAGGAGGAAGGAAGUGGGCUGUAACGUGGCCUGUUGCUUCCUUCCCAUACUCAUACUACUCCCUCUUCACUUGGAUCUCAAACAGAAGCACCCUUAAACAUUGUUGGAAAUGGGCUACAGCUCAGCAGUAGAGCACCUGCCUACAUGAGGACAUGCAGACAGACCAGGGAAACUGCCUGGUUCCCAGGCUUGCGAAGAGUCUGUUGCUUUCUUUCAAUAGAUUCCCUCAUCCACUUGUCACACACUGCCUCCAGCAGGCAACUCGGUGACUGGCAGAGCAGCAGCCACCCUGGGUCCUGGGCAGAGUGGAAGCCACCCUGGGCCCCAGGAGAGAAGCCUGCUGAGAAGAGAGAACAGUCAUCACAAAGAGCCACACGAUGGGCUUUCAGGACAGAAAGCUCCCUGAAGUCAGCCAUGGUUUAAAUGAAUUGACUCCUGUAAAUCAUGAGCCUGAAUGUGCAACUGAUUUAUGAGGACUGGACUCAGACUUUGCUAACACCUCCUAAGAGAAGGGUGGGUGCUAUGACCUGAGCUCUAGGCCUACAUGUCAUCAGUCUCUGACACAUAUACCAACAGGCAUGCGUGCGCGCGUGCGCACACACACACACACACACACACACACACACACACACACACACACACACACCCCUCUGCUUCCAACCCACAAUUCAAACUGUAAGAUUAGAUCCAGGCAAGGAAACCAUGAGAAAACUGUACCUCGACACAGGAGUCCCACCACACCUGCCACAGCCUGCUUUGUUUCCAUUCCAGCUGCAGAAGGGAGAGAUCUUUGGGAAGGGCCAAGACCAACUGUCUUGGGGUGAGAACCCAGAUCUACCCUUGCAACCUAGAAGGGCCCCUGGCUCUUUCGAAGGCCCCAUGUGAGACACUGCCAAGGCCUCACUGGGGGACGACAACAGGUGGAUGAGAAGUUCUGACAUCAGGGAAUGAGUGCCUAACCGUGAGCAACACAGGACACAGGUUCAAACAGAGAAGGAGGAAGCUGAGAAAGGAAAAGCCCCUCCCCAGAGACAUGCCCAUCAGUGACUUCCACCCUACACAGCCAUGUCCUUUGGGUUGGGCCUUCAGGCUGGUGCUCCUGCAACUCACCUCUACCCUAUCAGUAACCGUGGAUGGAAGACAAGACAAGCAGGCUCUCUCCAUGCACACACAGACAAGCCAGACUCUCCCACCAUCUGUCCCCACAGGUGCUGUUCCUGGGCCACUCAGAAGGUGGGAGUUGCAGUCACAUCCACCUUGCCCAGCUCGGUGGGUCCUCCCCAGCCCGGUUUAAAACUGAGUGUGAGGAGUCUGGAAAAACGGCUCAAUUGGUUAGGAAUGCCGGCUGCCCUUCCAGAACGCAGGUUCAAAUCCCAAAAUUCAGAGUGUGGCUCCCAACCAUCUCUAACUCCAGUUCCAGGGGAUCUGACUCCCUCUUCUAGCCUCCAUGGGCUCCAGACACACAUGUGGCACCCAGAUAUACACACAGUCAAAAUACCCAGACACAUAAAAAACAAGAUGAUUUUUUGGAAAAACUAAGGCUACAGUUCUGGACUCAGCUCCACCAGGAAAGGAAGGCGCAGCUCUGCAUCUCAUUUAGAUGCUCAUCUACCGCCCCAUCUGGCCAGCAUGGCCCACCAGUCUUCCCUGGAACCUUCGGCAUCCUUGUAUAGCAAGUCUGGCUCCCUACCUGCCUGGAACCUGCAAGUCCACGCUUGCAGCCAUUAGCACCUCAGCCAAAACAAAAGCAAAAGGAUCGCUCUCAUCCCUUCUGCAGUUACAAGGUGCAGAGGUUAACCUUUCCAGUCUGGAAGCAAUUCAGUCACAGGGCCUAGCGCUCUCCAUAGAUGAGACAGUUGCUCUUGCAGCCUGUGGCAGAGCUCAUAAUGGAGAUCCCCUGGGUCCUGACUGACCUCUUGCAAUACAGGUCCUGGUGGGGCCCUGGGGAUGGAUGAACUGAUCCAAUUCAAAUCUGAGGACAUUCAGUCCCUGGAGAGGAGGCGGCAUAUGCUGAAAACUAUGUGUGCUCAUGGAGGUGGUGCCUGUGAGAAGCCCAGACCCACCGCCUGGUGCUGAGGAAGGAGAAAGGGUACCCAUGCACAGACCACCACAGUGUCUAGCUGGCUGGGGCAUCCAGGCUUUGCAUCUGAGCAGCAAAGCUCUUCAGGACAGGAAGGAAACAGAAAGCUUCAGAGUAAUUAAAGGGGGCCCACCUCCCUAGCCCUGCUCGGAAGCUGUGCGUCCUGACCUGCACAUGGGGAGGCAAGUAACAGUUAGUGAGCCUUAGCUGAGGGGGGCGCAGGGGGUGCAGAACCUGACAGGGGGCAGUAGCCCAAGGGCAGAAUACACAGGUGGUCACUGCUAGUGUGGUCUUCCCUGAGCUGCCAACAGACUGCUACUGUCACUCCAGGUCCCCAAAACAACACGGGCCACUGCUCUAAAUAAGCCAAAUAAACACACCACUCCAUACCUCUAAUCUUCAUGUGGCUUGACCACAGCACCGACAGCCCUACCCAUUCUCUCAGGGACAGUCACUUUGGGUCUCGGCUAAGAUGCCUCUGCCUUGCUAGAAGAGGCCAUCCGGCCUCCCAGGUGCCUCCGACCACCCAUCUCUCUCCACUUUCCUCACAGUACUCCCCACAGCCUGUGUGCAUGUACAUAUUCAUACGUUUACACACAUGUGUUUGACAUGAGUACACAUGCAUGUAUGCAUGGGGGGCAGAGGUCGACAUCAAGUAUCUUCCUUAAUCACUCUCUACCUUAUUUGCGGGGGCGGGGGAUCUCUCACUGAACCCGGAGCUAAUUUGUCUAGACUGGAUGUUCACAGGCCCUGGGCACUCUCUCGUCUCCCCUGUGCCAUCCAUCACAGGCAUGAAAGGCUCACACCAUGCCUGGCUUUUUCUUUCCACAUGGAUUCUGGAGCUUAAACUCGGAUCCCCACGCUUAUCUGGUGAGCACUUUACUGACUGAGCCAUGCCCCCAGACCCCGUGGUUUCUUCCUAGCGCUGGAGACGAAAGCUCACGCACACGAAGCAGUGUUCUACCACUGAACUCGCCCCAAGCUCUUCCUACGCGGGAACUACUGUGUGUCUGUGUGUCUCCUCAUAGAAAUCCAGCUGGCCUAGAACUUGUGGAGAUCUCCCUGCCGCGGCCUUCUGAACGCUGGGACCUGCUUUUCUUUAUUCUCUCUCAUUGGAGGGCAUCUGGGGGCGGGGGAACAGAUGGUAACAGUCCUGGCUAGAACACCAACUCUGGUUGGUAGAGUGCUUUCCUAGCAUGCACAAGGUCCUGGGUUCCAUUCCCAGCACCGUAUAAACUGGGCAUGGUGGCCAUGCCUAUAGUCCCAGCAGUUGGAGUGGAGGCAGGAGGAACAAGAAUUCAAGGUCGCACUCAGCUACAGAGUGACUCUGAGACCAGGCUGGAAUACACGAGAACCUUUCUUAAAAAGAAAAAACAUAAAACACCAGUCCUCAGCCACUGCUUCCGAUCUACAGCAAGCCCCUAUGGGUUCAGUGAUCGACCCCUGCCGAGCCACUGGCAGUUGAACAGCCCUCCAGAGGACACUGGGAUGCCAGAGAGCCCUGACCCACUUGGAGGGCCAAUGCGCCCAUCCAGGUGUGCGGAGACACCUAUUUUAAAACUUGCUGACCAGGUAGUCCACCGGGGAGGCUUCUGAGAGCGGCCUGUGAGCUGCGUCUUCUCGUUAUGUAGGAGAUGGCAUCUCUCAGAAGGAACAGACUCGGUGGCCCCCGCACAGUUCCGCUGAUCGGCUCAGUGGGAUUCGCGGUGCC